Molecule: ribosomal RNA, 397 nt
Filed under: uncultured bacterium
Lineage: Bacteria
Description: partial 16S ribosomal RNA
Rfam family: Bacterial small subunit ribosomal RNA
Source: RNAcentral
UGGGGAAUAUUGCACAAUGGGCGCAAGCCUGAUGCAGCCAUGCCGCGUGUGUGAAGAAGGCCUUCGGGUUGUAAAGCACUUUCAGCGAGGAGGAAGGGUAGUGUGUUAAUAGCACAUUGCAUUGACGUUACUCGCAGAAGAAGCACCGGCUAACUCCGUGCCAGCAGCCGCGGUAAUACGGAGGGUGCAAGCGUUAAUCGGAAUUACUGGGCGUAAAGCGCACGCAGGCGGUUUGUUAAGUCAGAUGUGAAAUCCCCGCGCUUAACGUGGAACUGCAUUUGAAACUGGCAAGCUAGAGUCUUGUAGAGGGGGGUAGAAUUCCCAGGUGUAGCGGUGAAAUGCGUAGAGAUCUGGAGGAAUACCGGUGGCGAAGGCGGCCCCCUGGACAAAGACUGAC